RNAcentral lists this ribosomal RNA (253 nucleotides) under uncultured bacterium. RNAcentral describes it as "partial 16S ribosomal RNA". It matches the Rfam family "Bacterial small subunit ribosomal RNA", at positions 524 to 776 of the family's 1533-position model. The record is from RNAcentral.
UACGUAGGGUGCAAGCGUUAAUCGGAAUUACUGGGCGUAAAGCGUACGCAGGCGGCUAUGUAAGACAGGUGUGAAAUCCCCGGGCCUAACCUGGGAACUGCAUUUGUGACUGCAUAGCUAGAGUCCGUCAGAGGGGGGUGGAAUUCCUGGUGUAGCGGUGGAAUGCGCAGAUAUCAGGAGGAACACCAAUAGCGAAGGCAGCUCGCUGGGACGGUACUGACGCUAAGGCGCGAAAGCGUGGGGAGCGAACAGG